CCCCUUUUCUUCUCUUCGGGCCCCUGGUCCAGCUCCUCCUUUUCCUCCUGCGACUGGAGCAUCCUGACCCGGCCUCACCCCUGCUGGGCCUGAAUGAUGCUAUUCCCCGAGGACAGCGCCACUCAGCUCCCUGUCUGCCAGGGGCGGGCCGGCCGGCCGGGCUGGGCUGUGCGGGGCGGCGUGGCCGUCGUGGGCCACUCCUGGGCCGGGCCGGGCUGGCUUCUAGGCUAGGAGCGGGGGCGUUUAGGAAAAGUGGGCUCAGUGCCAGCCUACCUGGACGCCUCAUCGCUGGGCAAUACCUGGACUAGGCAGCAGCCCGCGGGAGGCGCCCUCUGCGGGCAGUCGUCCCACCCCCUCCGCGCAUAGCCCUCUCGGGGAUCCCUGCGAUCUGAGCCCGCACAAGGGAAACUGAUGCCCAAGGAGGGUGAAUGACUUGUCCAGGGUGGUCCGGUAAGUCAGUGGCUGGGCUGGGACUGGAACCUGGUCUGGAGAGCCCUCCUCCACGUCGAGCACUGGUGAGCCACACUCCAGCCGAGCCUCAGCUUCCUAGUCUGGACAACAGGAGUAAUGAUGCCUGACCUACAAAGUUGUUUUGAGAAUGCGCUUCACAAUAACCACUGGAGGACAGUUGCCUUUGGAGUCGGAGUUCAAGUGCUGAGUCCUGCCCUGAGUUCAAG
Non-coding RNA from Microcebus murinus (gray mouse lemur), 677 nucleotides. Lineage: Eukaryota; Metazoa; Chordata; Mammalia; Primates; Cheirogaleidae. The record is from RefSeq and is a predicted model, not a curated record.